GAUGAAGAACGUAGUGAAAUGCGAUAAGUAAUGUGAAUUGCAGAAUUCAGUGAAUCAUCGAAUCUUUGAACGCACAUUGCGCCCGCCAGUAUUCUGGCGGGCAUGCCUGUUCGAGCGUCAUUUCAACCAUCAAGCCCUGUGCUUGUGUUGGGGGCCUGCGGCUGCCGCAGCCCCCUAAAAGCAGUGGCGGGCUCGCUGUCAUUCCGAGCGCAGUAACUUAUCUCGCUUUGGUCGUGGCGGUGGGCACCUGCCGUAAAACACUCUUUUUCACAAGGUUGACCUCGGAUCAGGUAGGAAUACCCGCUGAACUUAAGAAUAUCAAUAAGCGGAGGA
RNAcentral lists this unclassified non-coding RNA (333 nucleotides) under soil metagenome. RNAcentral's name for it is "partial contains 5.8S ribosomal RNA, internal transcribed spacer 2, and large subunit ribosomal RNA". The stretch from base 1 to 120 matches the Rfam family "5.8S ribosomal RNA", at positions 35 to 154 of the family's 154-position model. The record is from RNAcentral.